GCCAUGUUUUAUUUACAAAAAAGAUAUUGUCCCAUACAUAUGACAAGCCACACAUGUCUAAAAUUGAUUUGACUUGUUUUAACCAUAAAAUAUUUGUACCAUAUUUGGCAGUUGCUAAGUUAUACAAAAUAAAAGGCAAUUUGUCAGGUUUUCCAGUUACCAACUUGAACCAAUAAUUUAUCAUUCGUAACUUGAUUGAAAUAUCUAAUGGAUAUCUUCCCAAUUCACCAUAAAUCAUAAAAUCAGGAGUAGACUUUUUUACUCCAAGUAAUAUUUUACAAAAUUUAAUAUGAACCCUCUCGAUUAUUGAAUUAUUUCCAAAACCCCAAACUUCGCACCCAUACAGAAGUAUUGGUUUCACAAUUUUAUCAAAUAGAUCAAGUUGGCAUUCAAUUGACAGAUUAUGUACUCUACCUUUUUCGAAUAAUAUCGUACAUAGCAUGUGUUGCUUUUUCACAUUGCUUUUUUUUAGCUCUUGAAAAAUUUCCUGACCUAGACAGUAAUACACCAAGAUAAGUAAAUUCACUCACAAUAUCUAGUAUUAUAUUAUCAUACUUAAAAACAAUAUUCUGCGGUAGUCUACCUUGUGAAAAAAUUACAAUCUUACUUUUUUGCACAUUUACUCUAAGUUUCCAUAACUCACAAUAUUCAUAUAAGGAGUCCAGUUGUCUUUGUAAAUCUAUCUGAGAUUCUGCCAUUAAGACAGUAUCGUCAGCAUAUAAAAUGACAAACAAUUUUAAAUAAACAUUUAACUCUAUUUCUAACUCAUCAGAGAUAGUGCACAAACCUUCUAUAUUUUUAUUCUGUAAAAACAAUUCCAGAUCGUUAAGAUAAAUAGAAAAAAGCAAAGGAGAGAGAUUCUCUCCCUGCCUAACACCAAUAGAACAAGGGAAAAAUUCAGAAAAAUCUGAUCCAAAGUGAAUACGUGAUUUGAUAUUAUUGUACAUGUUGACAAUAACGUUAUACAUCUUUCCGUUAAUCGAGUGUUUAAUAAGUUUUGACCAGAGACCAGACCGCCAAACAGUAUCAAAAGCUUUCGCAAAGUCCAC
This 1049-nucleotide long non-coding RNA is filed under the name Mytilus galloprovincialis (Mediterranean mussel). The record is from RNAcentral. Lineage: Eukaryota; Metazoa; Mollusca; Bivalvia; Mytilida; Mytilidae.